This 1724-nucleotide ribosomal RNA is filed under the name Proteus mirabilis. Its description in RNAcentral is "partial 23S ribosomal RNA". It matches the Rfam family "Bacterial large subunit ribosomal RNA", at positions 1223 to 2925 of the family's 2925-position model. The record is from RNAcentral. Lineage: Bacteria; Pseudomonadati; Pseudomonadota; Gammaproteobacteria; Enterobacterales; Morganellaceae.
GUUGGGUAGGGGAGCGUUCUGUAAGCCUGCGAAGGUGUACUGUGAGGUAUGCUGGAGGUAUCAGAAGUGCGAAUGCUGACAUAAGUAACGAUAAUGCGGGUGAAAAACCCGCACGCCGGAAGACCAAGGGUUCCUGUCCAACGUUAAUCGGGGCAGGGUGAGUCGACCCCUAAGGCGAGGCUGAAAAGCGUAGUCGAUGGGAAACGGGUUAAUAUUCCCGUACUGGUGGUAACUGCGAUGGGGGAACGGAGAAGGCUAGGUUGUCCGGGCGACGGUCGUCCCGGUUCAAGCAGGUAGGCAGAGUGAUUAGGCAAAUCCGGUCACUUAAUGCUGAGAUGUGAUGACGAACCACUAAGGUGGUGAAGCAAUUGAUGCCCCGCUUCCAGGAAAAGCCUCUAAGCUUCAGGUUACCAACAAUCGUACCCCAAACCGACACAGGUGGUCAGGUAGAGAAUACUCAGGCGCUUGAGAGAACUCGGGUGAAGGAACUAGGCAAAAUGGUGCCGUAACUUCGGGAGAAGGCACGCUGGCGGUAGGUAAAGUCCCUCGCGGACGGCGCUGAAGCCAGUCGAAGAUACCAGCUGGCUGCAACUGUUUAUUAAAAACACAGCACUGUGCAAACACGAAAGUGGACGUAUACGGUGUGACGCCUGCCCGGUGCUGGAAGGUUAAUUGAUGGGGUCAGCCGUAAGGCGAAGCUCCUGAUCGAAGCCCCAGUAAACGGCGGCCGUAACUAUAACGGUCCUAAGGUAGCGAAAUUCCUUGUCGGGUAAGUUCCGACCUGCACGAAUGGCGUAAUGAUGGCCAGGCUGUCUCCACCCGAGACUCAGUGAAAUUGAACUCGCUGUGAAGAUGCAGUGUACCCGCGGCAAGACGGAAAGACCCCGUGAACCUUUACUAUAGCUUGACACUGAACAUUGAGCCUUGAUGUGUAGGAUAGGUGGGAGGCUUUGAAGUGUGGACGCCAGUCUGCAUGGAGCCAACCUUGAAAUACCACCCUUUAACGUUUGAUGUUCUAACCUAGGCCCAUAAACUGGGUCGGGGACCGUGUCUGGUGGGUAGUUUGACUGGGGCGGUCUCCUCCUAAAGAGUAACGGAGGAGCACGAAGGUUGGCUAAGCAUGGUCGGACAUCAUGCGGUUAGUGCAAAGGCAUAAGCCAGCUUGACUGCGAGAGUGACGGCUCGAGCAGGUACGAAAGUAGGUCUUAGUGAUCCGGUGGUUCUGAAUGGAAGGGCCAUCGCUCAACGGAUAAAAGGUACUCCGGGGAUAACAGGCUGAUACCGCCCAAGAGUUCAUAUCGACGGCGGUGUUUGGCACCUCGAUGUCGGCUCAUCACAUCCUGGGGCUGAAGUAGGUCCCAAGGGUAUGGCUGUUCGCCAUUUAAAGUGGUACGCGAGCUGGGUUUAGAACGUCGUGAGACAGUUCGGUCCCUAUCUGCCGUGGGCGUUGGAAGAUUGAGAGGGGUUGCUCCUAGUACGAGAGGACCGGAGUGAACGCACCACUGGUGUUCGGGUUGUCAUGCCAAUGGCAUUGCCCGGUAGCUAAGUGCGGAAGAGAUAACCGCUGAAAGCAUCUAAGCGGGAAACUUGCCUCGAGAUGAGUCUUCCCUGUCGCUUUAAGCGACCUAAAGGAACGUUUAAGACUAAGACGUUGAUAGGCUGGGUGUGUAAGCGUAGCGAUACGUUGAGCUAACCAGUACUAAUGAACCGUGAGGCUUAACCUG